Molecule: non-coding RNA, 20 nt
Filed under: Arabidopsis thaliana (thale cress)
Lineage: Eukaryota; Viridiplantae; Streptophyta; Magnoliopsida; Brassicales; Brassicaceae
Also listed under: 1 other name
Source: RNAcentral
GUGAAGCAGAAUUCACCAAG